Long non-coding RNA from Lynx canadensis (Canada lynx), 964 nucleotides. RefSeq lists it as uncharacterized. Lineage: Eukaryota; Metazoa; Chordata; Mammalia; Carnivora; Felidae. The record is from RefSeq and is a predicted model, not a curated record. The transcript has 3 exons.
UUUCUUCUUUCUUCUUUCUUUCUUUCUUUCUUCUUUCUUUCACAGACAAAGAGACUGAGGUUCUCUGAGAGUAGCAUGUUGUAAAGGAUUUUGGUGACAGGAGGGCCAACCCAGGCACGAGACAAAGGCAUAAAAUUAGGGGAAAUAUGAAGUAUGACAGAAAGAAAGGAAAGAAUGUUUUCAAGAGAUAAUGCUAGCAAAGUACAAACAGGACCACACUGAUGAAUUCAGGGCCCCUGCAUGCUCCAUGCCCCAGACUGAGGAACCCAGGCAGGUCAGGUUUCACAGAGGAUGGUGAGUAUGGAGAGUGGACAGCAGAGGGAGCCCUAGACGGGUUUUGCUCCAGACUGGAGUUCGGAGAAUGAGAAAGUGACAGGUCCCUCAUGCUAUCUCACCAUGAGCUCUUGCUUUUCUUCGCUCAGGACCCAGCUAGCGCUUCCCUAACAGAAAAACAGGCCUUGGGAAGUGCUGCCUGACUCCCAAGCCUCAGAGGGAUUGGGUCACGGCCCCCAUUCCAGUUACACAACUAAGAUGCCAAAAUGGAACCAAGUCCCCAGGAACUCAGCUGGUGGAAGAUGAGGAGACAGCAGGUAAGACAGUUAUGCCAAUGCCCUCAGAACCACGGACAUCGUGGCAUCCUGGAAUCGUAAUGCUGGAGGUGAACUUAGAGGCUGUCUCCUCCAACCCCAUCAUUUUCAAGAGUAGGAGAUGAAGACCCAGAGAAGUGAAGUGACCUGUCACCGUCAUACAGCCGGAUGACAACAGAGCCAAAAGCCUUAAUCGGGGCUCUUUCCAUGACGAGAACCCGGGAUCAGAUCCGCAACAGGCUUUGGUGGAGUUCAGCAUCGUUUUGGCCACAGAUUUGCAGAUGAGCGAUUCAUUACUGCCCGGGGGCUGAGACACUCUAGAGGCCCUUGGUUCGACAUAUCUGUUCCUCUGAAAGAAGUAGUCUCUAUUCAGGUCA